UUUUUAAUUUAUCCAAUCAUAUACUUUAUGCAUAUUAACCGGAUUUUUAAUAAACUUGCCACCUUCUUUCUUCUUUAAAUAAAUUUCAUUUUCUCUUGCUCUCCAAUCCCAUACGUCUCCAUGAUCUUCCAUACCGAAAAGCUUGAAUGCUGUAAAAUUCUGAUAAUGUCUGUAAUUAGGCCCUUGUUUCAAAGUACACAUAAAACGCGUUGUACGCCAAAUGUUAACACUAAAAUAAGUUACAAAAUGCCCUCCGAUUGGUAUUAUUUUUGGACCUAAUACAUCAUCUUUGGAAUAACACCUCAUCCAGAGGAGUUUUUGGAAUUUAAGUUCGUUCCCGAUCCUAAUUCCGGCUCCCGAUACAUGAUCAAACAUGCAAAGACUAAAAACAAAUAUAAAAA
Molecule: small RNA, 401 nt
Filed under: Arabidopsis thaliana (thale cress)
Lineage: Eukaryota; Viridiplantae; Streptophyta; Magnoliopsida; Brassicales; Brassicaceae
Description: ATSL227360
Source: RNAcentral